This 798-nucleotide long non-coding RNA is filed under the name Helianthus annuus (common sunflower). Its description in RNAcentral is "hypothetical non coding rna". The record is from RNAcentral. Lineage: Eukaryota; Viridiplantae; Streptophyta; Magnoliopsida; Asterales; Asteraceae.
CCGUAAGGCGCGUACGGGCCUAACAGGCAACGAUGGACUUAGUUUCGACGCUCGUUAGGCCCGUACGCGCCUUACGGACGACGUCGACUAAAUAAUAUUUUUUUAUUAUUUAGUCGACGUCGUCCGUAAGGCGCGUACGGGCCUAACGAGCAAUAUUUUUUUAUUAUUUAGUCGACGUCAUCCGUAAGGCGCGUACGGGCCUAACGGGCAACGACGGACUUAGUUUCGAUGCUCGUUAGGCCCGUACGCGCCUUACGGACGACGUCGACUAAAUAAUAUUUUUUUUAUUAUUUAGUCGACGUCGUCCGUAAGGCGCGUACGGGCCUAACGAGCGUCGAAACUAAGCCCGUGUCGUUAACGACGGGCUUAGUUUCGACGCUCGUUAGGCCCGUACGCGCCUUACGGACGACGUCGACUAAAUAAUAUUUUUUCAUUAUUUAGUCGACGUCGUCCGUAAGGCGCGUACGGGCCUAACGAGCGUCGAAACUAAGCCCGUCGUUAACGACGGGCGCUUAGUUUCGAUGCUCGUUAGGCCCGUACGCGCCUUACGGACGACGUCGACUAAAUAAUAUUUUUUUUAUUAUUUAGUCGACGUCGUCCGUAAGGCGCGUAUGGGCCUAACGGGCAACGACGGACUUAGUUUCGACGCUCGUUAGGCCCGUACGCGCCUUACGGACGACGUCGACUAAAUAAUAUUUUUUUAUUAUUUAGUCGACGUCGUCCGUAAGGCGCGUACGGGCCUAACGAGCGUCGAAACUAAGUCCGUCGUUGCCCGUUAGGCCCAUACGCGCCUUACGG